GACGAACGCUGGCGGCGUGCUUAACACAUGCAAGUCGAACGGAAAGGCCCUGCUUUUGUGGGGUGCUCGAGUGGCGAACGGGUGAGUAACACGUGAGUAACCUGCCCUUGACUUUGGGAUAACUUCAGGAAACUGGGGCUAAUACCGGAUAGGGGCUCCUGCUGCAUGGUGGGGGUUGGAAAGUUUCGGCGGUUGGGGAUGGACUCGCGGCUUAUCAGCUUGUUGGUGGGGUAGUGGCUUACCAAGGCUUUGACGGGUAGCCGGCCUGAGAGGGUGACCGGCCACAUUGGGACUGAGAUACGGCCCAGACUCCUACGGGAGGCAGCAGUGGGGAAUAUUGCACAAUGGGCGGAAGCCUGAUGCAGCAACGCCGCGUGCGGGAUGACGGCCUUCGGGUUGUGAACCGCUUUCGCCUGUGACGAAGCGUGAGUGACGGUAAUGGGUAAAGAAGCACCGGCUAACUACGUG
Molecule: ribosomal RNA, 468 nt
Filed under: uncultured bacterium
Lineage: Bacteria
Description: partial 16S ribosomal RNA
Rfam family: Bacterial small subunit ribosomal RNA
Source: RNAcentral